GGCGGCGUGCCUAAUACAUGCAAGUAGAACGCUGAAGGAGGAGCUUGCUUCUCCGGAUGAGUUGCGAACGGGUGAGUAACGCGUAGGUAACCUGCCUGGUAGCGGGGGAUAACUAUUGGAAACGAUAGCUAAUACCGCAUAAGAGUAGAUGUUGCAUGACAUUUGCUUAAAAGGUGCAAUUGCAUCACUACCAGAUGGACCUGCGUUGUAUUAGCUAGUUGGUGGGGUAACGGCUCACCAAGGCGACGAUACAUAGCCGACCUGAGAGGGUGAUCGGCCACACUGGGACUGAGACACGGCCCAGACUCCUACGGGAGGCAGCAGUAGGGAAUCUUCGGCAAUGGACGGAAGUCUGACCGAGCAACGCCGCGUGAGUGAAAAGAAGGUUUUCGGAUCGUAAAGCUCUGUUGUAAGAGAAGAACGAGUGUGAGAGUGGAAAGUUCACACUGUGACGGUAUCUUACCAGAAAGGGACGGCUAACUACGUGCCAGCCGCGGC
RNAcentral lists this ribosomal RNA (498 nucleotides) under uncultured bacterium. RNAcentral's name for it is "bacterial SSU rRNA". It matches the Rfam family "Bacterial small subunit ribosomal RNA", at positions 38 to 518 of the family's 1533-position model. The record is from RNAcentral.